This is a long non-coding RNA of Drosophila ficusphila, 279 nucleotides long. RefSeq lists it as uncharacterized. The transcript has 2 exons. The record is from RefSeq and is a predicted model, not a curated record. NCBI's taxonomy places the organism in Eukaryota, Metazoa, Arthropoda, Insecta, Diptera, Drosophilidae.
GAAGCCGAGAGUCAAUGUAUAGUGUGAGGCUUUCGUAUAGAUGUCGCCCGGGGUCCUGCGAUCGCACAGACGGAUUACCAACCAAACUAGAGCAGUGGAGAAGUCUUCCAAAGUCUCUAUGUAAUCACGGCGCCUAUUAGUGCGGUUCAUUUCUGGCGAAAACAAUAUAUUAGUGUUGUUCAGACAAAGGACUUUAUCUUUUCAGAGGGAAUCACAGAAAUUUCAAUUAGCUUACCCGAGCUGUAUUAAUUAAAAAUCGUUGCGAAAUACCAACUUUAA